This 2003-nucleotide long non-coding RNA is filed under the name Ornithorhynchus anatinus (platypus). RNAcentral describes it as "lncRNA (ENSOANG00000038155.1)". The record is from RNAcentral. Lineage: Eukaryota; Metazoa; Chordata; Mammalia; Monotremata; Ornithorhynchidae.
UGGAAGGGCUGCAGAGGGAGAGGAGGGUGAAGGACCAGGGCCCGGGUUCAGGGAGAGAAGCCGGUCGGGGGGACGCAAGGGCCUGAGGAAUUGUCAGGCCUGUCCAGCCAGAGAGGCCUUUGCUGCCCCUGACCUUGCAGAAUGUCCCAUAUGCGAUGCCAGUUGGCCUUGGCAGCCCUUCUCAUCGAGUUCCCAACCGCACACAGGACGGAUGCACACGGACGAGCUGUCUGCACACCCUCUGAACUCACAGGCGUACACACUCGCCGAGGGCUAAUCGGAGGGCUGGAGAGGGGGAUUGGCCGGGACUGGGGGAGGAGAUGCUUCCAGCUUGACCUCGGGCUGCCCCGGUCCACCCAGGCCUCAGCCCUCCAAGACUUCGCCCCCUCCUCGGCCCAUCCGUCCCCUUUGCUCGGCUCUUCGAUGUACCGCUCGUCCGUCCGUUCCCGGUGUGUGUCCAAAACUUCCCCUCCAGGGCACCUUUGUUUGUGCGGACGGGACCUCUUGUUUCACCGCCAGUGCCCGGUUCGUGUGCAAAUUUUUAGUGGUUUUUUUUAAUAACUGGCCCCUCCUGCUGGGAUGGUUUUGUCAUACAGAUCCCAAAGAGAGAGGUGCGUGCAUGUGUAUCUGUGUAAGAAGUGUCCGUGGGUGGCGGCGUUCAAGUAGCGAGUGAGAGUCUAUUGGAGAUUGGGGUGGAUUGGAGUUUGGGCAGGGCCUUUCUCCCCCCUCCUCCGCCCCCUUCCAGGAUAUAAACAGCACGCAACAACUUUGGAAGAUUGUUUUUCGGGUAGUUCCUUCCCCGGCCUUGAGUUUAUUUACGCCUAGGGAUGUAAAACACGACGGACUAGGUGGAGGGGCCCUGGGGAGUGGGUAGGCAGGCCAGGCAGGCUUCCCACUGGGGAAGGCCCACCCCGCAUUCAUUAAUUCGUAUUUAUUGAGGGCUUACUCGGUGCUGAGGGCUGGGGAGAGUACAAUUGGGAAGAGAGAGAGGCUCAGUGGAAAGAGCACACACUUGGGAGUCAGAAGACAUGGGUUCUAAUUCCAGCUCUGACACUUUGCUGUGUGACCUUGGGCAAGUCGAUUAACUUCUCUGUGCUUCUGUACCCUAUCUAAAAAUGGGGAUUAAAACUGUGAGCCCCACAUGGGACAACCUGAUGACCUUGUAUCCACCCCAGCGCUUAGAAGAGUGCUCAGCACAUAGUAAGCGCUUAAUAAAUACCAUAAUUAUUAUUAUUAUCCCUGUCCAACGAUGGGCUCACAGUCUAGAAGGGGGGGAGAUGGACAAGAAAACCAAACAAGUAGACAGGAAUCGAUAGCAUCAAAAUAGAUCCAGAGGAUCAUAAAUAUGUACAAAUAUAUACAAGUGCAAAUAGAAUCAUAGAUAUAUACACAUCAUUAAUAAAGAGUAAUAAAUAUGUACAAAUAGUGCUGCGGGGAGGGGAAGGGGAUAGAAAAGAGGGAGGGAGUAGGGGCGAUGGGGAGGGGGUGGUAGAAGGGUUGCGGGGGGCUUCCUGGGGUCAUUCAUUCAUUCAAUUGCAUUUAUUGAGCAUUCGCUCUGUGCAGAGCACUGGACUAAGCACUUGGAAUGGCCAAUCCGGCCCCAGAUCGAGACAAUCCCUGCCCGGCGACGGGCUCGGAGUUUCUUGGCCAUGUCGGUCCUCAGUGCGGUGGCCAGCCUUUGGUACGGUCUCUUCCCCAGCGUGGCUCAGUGGCAAGAGCCCGGGCUUGGGAGUCAGAGGUCAAGGGUUCGAAUCCCGGCUCUGCCACUUGUCAGCUGUGUGACCGUGGGCAAGUCACUUCACUUCCCUGGGCCUCAGUUCCCUCAUCUGUAAAAUGGGGAUGAAGACGGUGAGCCUCACGUGGGACCACCUGAUGACCCUGUAUCCACUCCAGCGCUUAGAACAGUGCUCUGCACAUAGUAAGCGCUUAACAAAUACCAACAUCAUCAUUAUUAUUAUUAUUAUCCCCCGUGGGGCUGGGGGUUUGCUGAGGGUGAAAAGAGG